GAUGAACGCUGGCGGCGUGCCUAAUACAUGCAAGUCGAGCGAACAGACGAGGAGCUUGCUCCUUCGACGUUAGCGGCGGACGGGUGAGUAACACGUAGGUAACCUACCUAUAAGACUGGGAUAACUUCGGGAAACCGGAGCUAAUACCGGAUAAUAUUUCGAACCGCAUGGUUCGAUAGUGAAAGAUGGCUUUGCUAUCACUUAUAGAUGGACCCGCGCCGUAUUAGCUAGUUGGUAAGGUAACGGCUUACCAAGGCAACGAUACGUAGCCGACCUGAGAGGGUGAUCGGCCACACUGGAACUGAGACACGGUCCAGACUCCUACGGGAGGCAGCAGUAGGGAAUCUUCCGCAAUGGGCGAAAGCCUGACGGAGCAACGCCGCGUGAGUGAUGAAGGUCUUCGGAUCGUAAAACUCUGUUAUUAGGGAAGAACAAACGUGUAAGUAACUGUGCACGUCUUGACGGUACCUAAUCAGAAAGCCACGGCUAACUACGUG
RNAcentral lists this ribosomal RNA (497 nucleotides) under uncultured bacterium. RNAcentral describes it as "partial 16S ribosomal RNA". It matches the Rfam family "Bacterial small subunit ribosomal RNA", at positions 28 to 507 of the family's 1533-position model. The record is from RNAcentral.